Molecule: long non-coding RNA, 4183 nt
Filed under: Marmota monax (woodchuck)
Lineage: Eukaryota; Metazoa; Chordata; Mammalia; Rodentia; Sciuridae
Source: RNAcentral
GGACUGCUGAGCCUUUCUCAGAAACGCCCUUGAGAGGGAAAGCGAAACCUUUUCCUUAAAAUGGCAGCUGUCACUUAAGAUGGCCAUCCAGAUGCUAAGCAGGGUCCUUGUACUCUUGGUCUGGUAAUUCAAAAUCUGAGUCUUUUUGUUGGUAUCUGUUGUCAUUUCCCUUAAGAAAUCAUCAUAUUUUCUUUGUUAUUUGUAUACCAAGUUUGUGAGUUCUACGCUGAACAUUUUGAAGUUCUGUCGCAUCCUCUGGGUCCUGCUACAGUUCUUGGGACAUGUCAGUGUUCUUCUUGGGGCUUGCACACGUGUCCAGGCUCUUGGCUUUAGCCUACCUCUCUACCCGCUGUCUGGGGCCAAGAGUGCUCUCAAGUUGGGUCUUGAAACCCUUCUGUGCUGCCGCGUCCCCUUCUGUGUGAAGGGGCAGCACGGAGGUCAGCCUGGAGCUGAGGCAAUUCACACUGAAACACAAGGUCCCUCCUCUGUCUCUCUUCUUCCUGAAUCAUCUGUCACAUUCCCCAGUUUCCAGGGGCCUCUUCCCAGAACUCUGGCUGUGAAGGGGAACUUCCCUAGGAACCUGCACCACUCAUACUGCCUCGCAGGCCAAGGGUCCCCGCCCUGUCUGGACCGCAAGCUGCCCUUUCCUGAUGACUGUGGCCAGAGAGAUGCUUUUGCCUUCAAGAGCAGCAUGGGUGUGCGACUUCCAGUCCACCCUCGCACGCCUCUUAUGAUUGGGUCCUCCUUGAGAAGGAGCCGAGAGAGUCCAGACCAAACUGGCAGCCAAGCCUGGGAAUCACCACUUGCUUGGCUUGCAGGGUCUCUUUAUCCCUGGAGCUUUUGCUGUGUGUCCAUGUGUAGAGCCCACAGGGCCACGUGUCAUGCUGGGAGGCAGGAGCAGAUGGGAAAGCCACCCCAUCAGGUCUUUUGUUACUCUGGGUCUCAUUUGCUAUCGUGGUUAUUACUUUUCAUGUUUUCUGGAGUUUUUAGUGUUUCUCGGUAAGUUUGGUGGGCUGCAGCGAGCUCUCUCCAUCUGGUCUGCCACUGGGGCGCCUUCACUUUUGGAAGACAUGUUGCUGGGUAUAGAAGUUUACUAUUUCCUGUCACUUCCUUAUCUUCUGGUUUGAAUAUCUGGCAGUGGGUGUGUGAUUCUUCUUAUUCCAUUCAUCUCUAUCUACAGGCAAGAUGUUUUCUUUAUCCUUGGUUUCAGAGUUGAAUAUGGUAUGACUGUUAGGUCGGUGGUGGUGACUUGGUGGCGAUUAGUGGCAACUUAGAAGAAAGCAGCCCGCGCCAGGAAAAGAACAGCAAUCAGAUGCCGGCGGAAAUGCCUGUCAAUCAGCCAGAUCUCCUGACUAACGCCUGUCAAUCAACAGGACCCCCUGGCCAAUCCUGGAGUUCAGCCAACUCCCCUGACCAACUCCAAGGGGGCAAGGGACCCUAGGAACACCUUUUCCUGUCCCAAGCCCUUCCCUUCCUGCUGUGAGCCCCAUAAAAGUCCAGUCCGGUUGAGCUUCCACAAGGUUUCUCCUCAGACCCUUCCCCUGUCCCCUCUGUGGGUCUGAUCAAGUUCCGCCCGGGAGUGAUAUCUCAAUAAAGCCUGUUCAGUGGUCCUUUUAAAUCUGCCUCCUUUGGCCAUUGCCUGCCCCGACUGAUCUGACAUCUUGGUGCCGACACCCAGGAAGGGAUCUUCGGGCUUCUCCCUCAGGGGAUUGAAGCCCAUCCCUUCCCCCUUGAAACCAACUGGGAAAUUUCUAAGCAACUCUUUCUCUCUCCCUUCAUCCAGCUGACAGGAGUGGGGUAAGUUCCUCCUUUCCCCUGACCUUCCAGAUCCUUUCUGUCUGUCCGCGGGGUCUAUCCAUAAGUGCCAUAGGCCCUGCCCAUUCUGUUCAGGGCUCUGGGGACUGUGGAGACAUCCUAGUCCUCCUGAGAGCCCCCCGCCAACCAGGUUGGCCAACUGCUGGGGCCCCUGGAGGCUGAAGGGACGUCUCAACCUCCGCCCUGGCCCAUAUCUCUCCGUAGGUGAGUGCAGACAGAAUUUGGGAUGCCUUUUUUCUGCUCCCACUCACCCCCGAAGGUGCCAGAAGGUCAUGGGAAAUGCAGAGUCCUCUCCUUAGACCCCAAAGUCCUUGGGUGUCUAUAUUCAAAUUUUGCCAAGUUAGGGCUCAUUUAAGAACCGCCUGGUAUUUUACUGCACUGAGACAAUUGGUCAUAAUGGCUCCCAGAAAGAACUGUUGAUUUUAAACCCUCACUGAAUUGGACAAUUUCUGUCGCCAGACAGGGAAGUGGGAAACCACGUUCAGGAUUUUUGAGAUUUGCUCCUGUCCUGCCCUCUGCUCUCUGCUCCCGACCUGCCCUCUGCCUCCUUCCCUCUGCUCUUAAUGUCUGUUCUCCCUCCUAGUGCUGAGAGCCAUAGCCAAGUAGGAAUGACGCAUGGCAAUUUCCUUGUCAGCCUACACAAUGUUGCUUAGAGGGAGGACUCUCCAUUGUGAAAAUGGGCUUGCCUUGGACCCAGGUCAUUUGCAGUGACAUUGCAUGAAUAUUUGAGAGUUUUGUUUUGAAAGGUGACCUUGCUCAGGGAUUAGGGCGGAUCCGGGUUUAGGGUGGAUCCUGCUGGGAAUAGGGCUCCUGCUGGGAAUAGGGCGUAUCCUGCUGCCUCAGGCGCUGGCUCCUUGAGUUCUCACGGGAUUCAGAGGGUAUUUGGGAUGCAGAGCCCGGUGGAGGUGUGGAUUUUCCCCGGAAUGGAACGUGCAUGUAGAGUGCAGGUGAGAGUUCGGGAAUAAAGAAUUGCUGUUUGAAUCUACAAGGCUGUGAGUGGCUCGUGAUUUUGUGCCCAGCCAGACUGCGGCAUCCUAGCGGUACCGUGUCCCCUCCUCCUCCCUGCUGCCACUUCUGCAGCUGCUGCUCGCUGCUCGCUGCUUGCGGCCCAGUCUGCGCGCUUCCAGUCUGCGCGCUUCCAGUCUGCCUGGCUACCAGACACGUGCGCCCUUCCUCCCUCCCUUGCUGGCUCCCUCUGCCACCCUGGCAGGCAGAACGGGUCCCACCUGGCUGCAGGGGGUGGGAUCUCUGGAUCCCUCCGAGCCUCCUCCCCCACUCUGCUCACCUCUUCUACUGAUAAGCCCUUCCCCCUCCCCCACUCUCUUCUUCCUCUCCUGCUACCUUGAUUUCUCCGCUCACCUCUUCCACUGAUACCACCCUUCCCCCUCCCCCUCCACCCCUCUCCUCUUCCUCCUCUCCUACAGCCAUGAUCACCUCCACCCAUUCACCCCUCCCUUCUCCUGAUCCCUCUUAUCAGAUAACCCACACUUUCUUUGUCCUCUCAGAGAAGUUCAAUUCAAGAUCUUUCCCAGAUUGAAAAACCUCUUGGGUCCUUCUCUGCUGACUCUUCUGCUUAUAUUAAGGAAUCCCGACAUCUCUCCCAGACCUAUGAUCUUACCUGGCACGACGUCUUUGUUGUUCUGUCCUCUACUCUGACCCCAGAUGAGCGAGCCCGCAUUCAGCAGGCUGCUGGAGAUCAUGCUGACCAAAUUCGUUUAACAGAUAUGACUCUCCCCACAGGUGAAGCAGCUGUUCCCCUAACCGAACCUAACUGGGACUAUCAAGAUGGCCAACAAGGUCGCCGUCACUGUGCUCGCGUGGUCCAAUAUCUUAUAGCAGGCAUGCAAGCAGUUCCUAAUAAGGUAGUUAACUUCGAUAAACUGAGGGAAAUUACCCAGAAUCCUGAUGAAAAUCCAGCCUUAUUUCUCAACCGCCUUACAGAGGCUCUCAUCAAAUAUACUAAGCUGGGUCCUGAGACUCCCACCAGGGCUACAGUGUUAGCAACCCAUUUCUUUACUCAAUCAACCCAUGAUAUUAGAAAAAAGCUCAAACGAGCUGAGGAGGGCCCUCAGACCCCCAUCCAAGACCUGGUGAAAAUGGCCUUAAAAGUUUAUAAUGCCCGAGAGGAGUCGGCUGAGUUAGUCAGGCAGGCUCAAUUACAGAAAAAGGUAACACUCCACACCCAAGCCUUGGCAGCGGCCCUGAGGCCUACGGCUCAAACGAGGGCUUUUUGGAGGAUUCAGCAUUCCUCUCCAUCAGGGGCUUGCUUCAAAUGUGGAUGUGAAGGUCACUGGGCUUGCCAAUGCCCAAACUUAUGGCCUCCUUCCAGGCCAUGCCCCACCUGUAACCAGACAGGACAUUGGAAGAG